Molecule: ribosomal RNA, 440 nt
Filed under: uncultured beta proteobacterium
Lineage: Bacteria; Pseudomonadati; Pseudomonadota; Betaproteobacteria
Description: bacterial SSU rRNA
Rfam family: Bacterial small subunit ribosomal RNA
Source: RNAcentral
CCUGGCUCAGAUUGAACGCUGGCGGCAUGCCUUACACAUGCAAGUCGAACGCGAAAGUAGGGGCAACCCUGCGAGUAGAGUGGCGAACGGGUGAGUAACACAUCGGAACGUACCCAGGAGUGGGGGACAACCUCGAGAAAUCGAGGCUAAUACCGCAUACGUCCUGAGGGAGAAAGCGGGGGAUCUGCAAGGACCUCGCGCUCAUGGAGCGGCCGAUGUCGGAUUAGCUAGUUGGCGGGGUAAAAGCCCACCAAGGCUACGAUCCGUAGCUGGUUUGAGAGAACGACCAGCCACACUGGGACUGAGACACGGCCCAGACUCCUACGGGAGGCAGCAGUGGGGAAUUUUGGACAAUGGGGGCAACCCUGAUCCAGCCAUGCCGCGUGAGUGAAGAAGGCCUUCGGGUUGUAAAGCUCUUUCGGCCGGAACGAAAUCGCGUA